GCGGCCGUUGCUGAAUGGUAUAAGCGGAGGUUUUAGGUGCCUCUGGGCGUUUCGCCCAUGUGGGUUCGAAUCCCAUCGGCCGCACCA
RNAcentral lists this transfer RNA (87 nucleotides) under Streptomyces sp. SDr-06. RNAcentral describes it as "tRNA-Leu". It matches the Rfam family "tRNA". Rfam says of the family: Transfer RNA (tRNA) molecules are approximately 80 nucleotides in length. Their secondary structure includes four short double-helical elements and three loops (D, anti-codon, and T loops). Further hydrogen bonds mediate the characteristic L-shaped molecular structure. tRNAs have two regions of fundamental functional importance: the anti-codon, which is responsible for specific mRNA codon recognition, and the 3' end, to which the tRNAs corresponding amino acid is attached (by aminoacyl-tRNA synthetases). tRNAs cope with the degeneracy of the genetic code in two manners: having more than one tRNA (with a specific anti-codon) for a particular amino acid; and 'wobble' base-pairing, i.e. permitting non-standard base-pairing at the 3rd anti-codon position. Lineage: Bacteria; Bacillati; Actinomycetota; Actinomycetes; Kitasatosporales; Streptomycetaceae. The record is from RNAcentral. RNAcentral also lists the same sequence under 8 other names.